GGAGAGGUGCCGGAGCGGUUGAACGGGACGGUCUCGAAAACCGUUGUGGGGGCAACCCCACCCAGGGUUCGAAUCCCUGCCUCUCCGCCA
Molecule: transfer RNA, 90 nt
Filed under: Nitrospiraceae bacterium
Lineage: Bacteria; Pseudomonadati; Nitrospirota; Nitrospiria; Nitrospirales; Nitrospiraceae
Description: tRNA-Ser
Rfam family: tRNA
About the family: Transfer RNA (tRNA) molecules are approximately 80 nucleotides in length.
Source: RNAcentral